AGCGAACGCUGGCGGCGUGCCUAACACAUGCAAGUCGAACGGGAAUAGAUUCGUCUUAGUACCGUGGCGAACGGGUGAGUAACGCGUGGGUAAUCUGGCCUUUGGUGGGGAUAACCAUUCGAAAGGAUGGCUAAAACCGACAUAAGACCCAAUAAUCGGGAGAUUUAUGGGUGAAAGGGUGCUUAGGCACCUGCCGAAGGAUGAGCCCGCGUCCCAUUAGCUAGUUGGUGGGGUAAUGGCCUACCAAGGCUGAGAUGGGUAGCUGGUCUGAGAGGAUGAUCAGCCACACUGGGACUGAGACACGGCCCAGACUCCUACGGGAGGCAGCAGUGGGGAAUAUUGCGC
This 345-nucleotide ribosomal RNA is filed under the name uncultured bacterium. RNAcentral describes it as "bacterial SSU rRNA". It matches the Rfam family "Bacterial small subunit ribosomal RNA", at positions 29 to 369 of the family's 1533-position model. The record is from RNAcentral.